GUCCACCAUUCCUAUCAUGAUUUUAAGGUAUUUCUGGUCUUCUUCAAGUGUCUCCUGGAGGCUAAAGGUGUACAUGGUAUUUUCCCAUUGCAAUGCAGCAGCGCAGCAGAAGGGGGAGCUGACACAAGCCUUCCCAGGUCUGAACCAACUUCUCUCAAGCGUGUGAAGCCUUUCUUUAUGUAGCCAGUCUCCACCCAGGGCUCAGUAGGCUUAGGGAAAUGGGAGGCGGAAGGGCACCUCACAGUGUACUCAACCCUUCUGAAUUGGAUUUUGUGAGCUGUGUAUGUCAGGUUCCGAUGUGAGGCCUGGCGCUGUGGAGGUUCCAAUGGCCGCCAUGUUGUCUCAGAGGGACACACCACAGGCUUCUGGAACUCUGGCUCCAUUUUGUGGGUGCAAGUUUCUGGCUUCCGUUUUAAAGAGCAAGAGAACCUAUCAGCGUUGUCAAUUCUAAGAAAGUGAGUGCCAAGAGCAGCUUACAAGAUUGCUGCAUUGUGGAGUACUUGGGCAGGUAGUGUAGAGUGAACAGAAGCAGAAGAUGCCAAAACCAAGAAGUAUUUUCUAAGAAGGCACUAAAACUCAGCUGUGGACUACAGAGAUCAGUGAUCUGCUGAGAAAUACC
RNAcentral lists this long non-coding RNA (619 nucleotides) under Homo sapiens (human). RNAcentral describes it as "HSALNT0022505". Lineage: Eukaryota; Metazoa; Chordata; Mammalia; Primates; Hominidae. The record is from RNAcentral.